UGUUGCAGUGGUUUCCCCCGAGGGGGAAUGUGCCUCCUCACACGCUUGGCUGGAGCUGACUGGGAACCAGACUGCAUUCACUGAGCAAGUGGAGAAAGAUCUGUCUCUAGCCAGGGCAAAUUAUGACAUCAUCUUUUGGCAUUUUAAAUAUUCGACUGUUUACCUUGAAAAGCCUCUUGCCAUUCAUUUCUUUUCUAGGUUGAAUGGCGGAGGCUGACUUUCAGCUUGCAUUAAUUGCAACUCUUAAGGAAAGAAGACUUAUCUAACCCAUUUGAGAAAAACUGCUCAUGGAAUAUUGGGACGAAGCACUGGAACAGAAGACCACAGACCUGGGUUCCAGAUAACUCCAUCGUGAUGACCUGAAACAAUCCAGGACACGUUCCAGCCUCCAUUUCCUUGUCUGUGAGAUGGAUGGAGACAUCCCUAAGGCAUUGAAGCUGAACCCAUCGCCAGCCGUGAGACCUGAUGGGACCUCUCCUCUCCUUUGAAAGCCAGCUGAAUGCCGUUACUUCUUAGCCAGCCCGGAAGGGAUACGACUAGAAGAGCUACUCAACUGUUAAGAUGUUACAUUCCUAAAGCCCUGGCUGUAACCCACAGGGACUCCAGGCAAGAUAAUGUCCCAGCCACUUCACUCCUGGAUGACAUAGAAGUCACCUGGUGUCCUGCGGGUGGCAUGGCAUAGAGAAUGGAACUAAGGCCCCCUGCCCAGGUGGAGGAUGACAACUUCAGGCUGAGCACAAGAUUCCUGGAGCACCACCCUGUGACCUCACAGCAACCAAUCAGAAGAAAGUCACGCAACCUGCAGCCCUCACUCCACAUUUUGCCUGUAAAAACUUCUCCCUGAAAAUCAUCCAGGAGUUUGGGGGCUUUGAGCAUGAGACACCGUUCUGCCUGCUUGGCCCUCUAAUAAACUUUCUCGGCUCCAAAUUCCGACAUCUCUGUUUGCUUGGACUCAGCUCUUCAUGGGGCAUGUGAACUUGCAUUCGAUAACUCGUACAAGAAGAAACUUGGAUACACAGGGAGACAGCAGGAAUGCAGGUGCACAGAAGGAAGACUAUGUGAGGAUACAGGGAGAAGGCAGCCAUGUGCCAGCCAAGGAGGGAGGCCUCAGGAGAAGCCAAACUGGCCAACACCUUGGUCUUGGACUCCCAGCCUCCAGAAGUGUAAGAAAAUAAACGUCUGUUGUGUAGCCCCCUAGUCUGUGGUGUUUGGUCAUGGCAGCCUGGCAGACUGACACAGUGCCCCCCUCACAGGGCUUGAGUGUGUGGAGGAAGACAGACAAUAAUUACACAAUCAAUUCUUUCAUGACCACUGUGCCAGGUACUAGGAAGGGAAAGGACAGGGUGCUUUGAAGGCACCCAAAGAACAAAAUUGGGCAGAGGGAGUCCUGAAGCCCAGCCGCAGAGGGGCAGGGAGCUCAGAGAAGAGGCGGACCUGGGUGGACCCCGCAAGUGGUGGGCAGAGAGGCUGACCAAUGGGGAGCUCCAACUGCAGAGCCCCCUGACGUGGCCGGAUGAAGUCAUGCUCCAUCUCCCCGGCAGUGUGGAGCUAUUUCUGGUUUCCAAGCAGAGAAGAAGCACAAGGACAGCAGGACUUUGAGGAGAUUUUUCUUGCAGGCAUGUGCUGAGGGGCUGCAGGGCUCAAGGCAUGGAAAGAGGGGCACAGGGAGGAGGGCUGAACCAAGGUGGGGGCCGGCAGCAGGAUAAGAGGGGAGAGACUGCACACAGAAAGCAUUGUGAAGAAGUGACAGGUAUUGGUGAUUGACGGGAAGCUCUUUUUUAAUUGCCUUGUCCCUGCACCAGUCCAUCCAGUGAUGCUACUGACCUACAGGAAGGCCCUCCACAGACCCAUCUCCAGGGUCGGUGGUGACCAGGGCGCCCAGUGUCGUGUGAGGGCCUUAAAGACCAAAUGGGGAGUUUACCUGAUGCCUUCCUUCUCCAUCCCCUGGGUUGUACAGUGCUGAGACCCACAGAGCUUCCCAAAUCUGUGCAGUGGGUAUCAUCUGAACAGUGGUGGGAAGGUACUGAUCAUGGCUUGGAGACUCAGUAAGGAUACUUGGACAAUGUCCAUAAAGUCAUAUUCCAGAUUUCUCUCUAAGGAUCUUCCAGCAUCUUGCUGCAUUUUCAGCUGUUCACAGCGGGGAUGGGGGCGGGGGUUGGGUUAAAAAAAAAAAUUCUUGAAGGAACUGAACCUCCCAUAUCUCCCCAUGAAGGGACACUCCUAUCUGACUGACAGAAGUGGCCAGGAGUCGCUUAGAUCUGCUGGAAAGGAAAUGAAAACAGGAAAAAUACUGAGCUAACAUUUCAGAGUGCCUGGUGGCAGCCAAAGCCCAUUGACUUGCAGAAACAGCCAGAUGGAGAAAGCUGUAAGACAAUGUGUCCUGGACUGUCAAGUGCAGGAUGAAGUUUGUCACCAAUGUCAAGGAGGGGGGUUGCCAAGCCCCUGGUCAGGAAACCAUGGUUCUAUAAGCCAAAGUUCACAACUGUAGAGAGCUACCAAGGCCAAGACUACCACUGCAGGGCACAGACAGGAGAAUGUCAGCCUCAUCUGCCCUCCGUCAGUGGCUGAUGGCUAAUCUGGAGAUCAAGUUAGAGACACUGACCUACUGUAGAGCACAGGGAACUAUAUUCAAUUUCUUGUAAUAACAUAUAAUGGAAAAGAAUCGGAAAAGAAAAAAUAUAUAUGUAUGUAUAUGUGUAACUGAUCACUUUGCUGUACACCUGAAACUAACAUCAUAAAUCAACUACACUUCAAUAAAAAAAUU
Molecule: long non-coding RNA, 2764 nt
Organism: Camelus dromedarius (Arabian camel)
Lineage: Eukaryota; Metazoa; Chordata; Mammalia; Artiodactyla; Camelidae
Exons: 4
Source: RefSeq, a predicted model, not a curated record